RNAcentral lists this ribosomal RNA (491 nucleotides) under uncultured bacterium. RNAcentral's name for it is "partial 16S ribosomal RNA". It matches the Rfam family "Bacterial small subunit ribosomal RNA", at positions 29 to 507 of the family's 1533-position model. The record is from RNAcentral.
AGUGAACGCUGGCGGUAGGCCUAACACAUGCAAGUCGAACGGCAGCACAGUAAGAGCUUGCUCUUACGGGUGGCGAGUGGCGGACGGGUGAGGAAUACAUCGGAAUCUACUUUUUCGUGGGGGAUAACGUAGGGAAACUUACGCUAAUACCGCAUACGACCUACGGGUGAAAGCAGGGGAUCUUCGGACCUUGCGGAUUGAAUGAGCCGAUGUCGGAUUAGCUAGUUAGCGGGGUAAAGGCCCACCAAGGCGACGAUCCGUAGCUGGUCUGAGAGGAUGAUCAGCCACACUGGAACUGAGACACGGUCCAGACUCCUACGGGAGGCAGCAGUGGGGAAUAUUGGACAAUGGGCGCAAGCCUGAUCCAGCCAUACCGCGUGGGUGAAGAAGGCCUUCGGGUUGUAAAGCCCUUUUGUUGGGAAAGAAAAGCAGCAGGUUAAUACCCCGCUGUUCUGACGGUACCCAAAGAAUAAGCACCGGCUAACUUCGUG